UGGGGAAUAUUGCACAAUGGGCGCAAGCCUGAUGCAGCCAUGCCGCGUGUAUGAAGAAGGCCUUCGGGUUGUAAAGUUCUUUCAGCGGGGAGGAAGGCGUUGAGGUUAAUAAUCCUCAUGCUGAUUGACGUUACCCGCAGAAGAAGCACCGGCUA
Molecule: ribosomal RNA, 155 nt
Filed under: uncultured Enterobacter sp.
Lineage: Bacteria; Pseudomonadati; Pseudomonadota; Gammaproteobacteria; Enterobacterales; Enterobacteriaceae
Description: partial 16S rRNA
Rfam family: Bacterial small subunit ribosomal RNA
Source: RNAcentral